Hipposideros armiger (great roundleaf bat) is the source of this 640-nucleotide long non-coding RNA. RefSeq lists it as uncharacterized. The record is from RefSeq and is a predicted model, not a curated record. The transcript is spliced from 2 exons. NCBI's taxonomy places the organism in Eukaryota, Metazoa, Chordata, Mammalia, Chiroptera, Hipposideridae.
GACUAAAAAAAUGAGAUUAGUCAGAAAAGAAACCAGCACCCCAAGGAGUGUUCUAGCAGCAGAAUAUUUGGAUAACGGGUUCAGAUGUUGCUUACUUGCUCUUUGGAACAGGUUAAAUACAAAUGCAACAAUUUACAUGACAUAAAUAUGCAAGACCUGUGUGUUUUGGCUUGUUUUUCAGAUGGGGAUUAACGUGGUGGACUCUGCAGUAUCGGGAUUAGGUGGCUGCCCUUAUGCAAAAGGUGCUUCUGGAAAUGUAGCCACCGAGGAUUUGAUAUAUAUGCUUAACGGCCUGGGGCUCAAUACAGGUGUGAAUCUUUACAAAGUGAUGGAAGCUGGUAACUUUAUUUGCAAAGCUGUGAAUAAAACCACAAACUCUAAAGUAGCACAAGCCUCCUUCAAUGCUUGACUUAAAUGAAUUUGUGACUUAACGCUGAGAAGAUCCCUUUCAGCUACAGAUAUUCAUCUGAAAAUCAUUAGUGUCAAUUUGUUCUGAAAUCUGAAGUAAUAGACAAGAGUGGGAAAAAUAAAAAGAUACUUUUAAAAGAACUGGAUACAUUUCGAAGUCAACAGAAAUACCAGCCAUCAGGUAAAUUGCAAGCUGAAGCUAAAUAAUAAAAUUUGUAGACAUGCUUUUGAA